UUACACAUGCAAAGUCGAACGGCAGCACGGGAGCAAUCCUGGUGGCGAGUGGCGAACGGGUGAGUAAUAUAUCGGAACGUGCCAGUCGUGGGGGAUAACGUAGCGAAAGCUACGCUAAUACCGCAUACGAUCUAUGGAUGAAANCGGGGGAUCGCAAGACCUCGCGCGGAUUGGAGCGGCCGAUAUCAGAUUAGGUAGGUUGGUGAGGUAAAGGCUCACCAAGCCGACGAUCUGUAGCUGGUCUGAGAGGACGACCAGCCACACUGGGACUGAGACACGGCCCAGACUCCUACGGGAGGCAGCAGUGGGGAAUUUUGGACAAUGGGCGCAAGCCUGAUCCAGCAAUGCCGCGUGCAGGAUGAAGGCCUUCGGGUUGUAAACUGCUUUUGUACGGAACGAAACGGUGAGCUCUAAUACAGUUUGCUAAUGACGGUACCGUAAGAAUAAGCACCGGCUAACUACGUG
RNAcentral lists this ribosomal RNA (465 nucleotides) under uncultured bacterium. Its description in RNAcentral is "bacterial SSU rRNA". It matches the Rfam family "Bacterial small subunit ribosomal RNA", at positions 49 to 507 of the family's 1533-position model. The record is from RNAcentral.